RNAcentral lists this transfer RNA (68 nucleotides) under Flavobacteriaceae bacterium. RNAcentral describes it as "tRNA-Ala". It matches the Rfam family "tRNA". From Rfam's summary of the family: Transfer RNA (tRNA) molecules are approximately 80 nucleotides in length. Lineage: Bacteria; Pseudomonadati; Bacteroidota; Flavobacteriia; Flavobacteriales; Flavobacteriaceae. The record is from RNAcentral. RNAcentral also lists the same sequence under 1 other name.
GUAGCUCAGUUGGCUAGAGCGCUUGACUGGCAGUCAAGAGGUCGUGGGUUCGACUCCCAUCUUCUCCA